GUGGGGAAUAUUGCGCAAUGGGGGAAACCCUGACGCAGCGACGCCGUGUGAGGGAAGAAGGCUUUCGGGUCGUAAACCUCUGUCAGAAAGGAAGAACCUCCCAAGUCCGAAUAGGGCUUGGGACUGACGGUACUUUCAAAGGAAGCACCGGCUAACUCCGUGCCAGCAGCCGCGGUAAUACGGAGGGUGCAAGCGUUAAUCGGAAUCACUGGGCGUAAAGCGCGCGUAGGCCGCUUUGUAAGUCGGACGUGAAAGCCCUCGGCUCAACCGGGGAACUGCGGUCGAUACUGCGAGGCUUGAGUCCUGGAGAGGGUGGCGGAAUUCCGGGUGUAGGAGUGAAAUCCGUAGAUAGCCGGAGGAACACCGGUGGCGAAGGCGGCCACCUGGACAGGUACUGACGCUGAGGCGCGAAAGCGUGGGGAGCAAACAGGAUUAGAAACCCCAGUAGUCC
RNAcentral lists this ribosomal RNA (451 nucleotides) under uncultured bacterium. RNAcentral describes it as "partial 16S ribosomal RNA". It matches the Rfam family "Bacterial small subunit ribosomal RNA", at positions 354 to 796 of the family's 1533-position model. The record is from RNAcentral.